Molecule: non-coding RNA, 74 nt
Filed under: uncultured Acutalibacter sp.
Lineage: Bacteria; Bacillati; Bacillota; Clostridia; Eubacteriales; Acutalibacteraceae
Description: ZMP/ZTP riboswitch
Rfam family: ZMP/ZTP riboswitch aptamer (pfl RNA motif)
About the family: Previously known as pfl RNA.
Source: RNAcentral
CCCCGUGACUGACGGAAAGGUGGGACACCACCGGGGAGCGGGGAAAGCCUAAAACUGCCGUCCGUCUGGGCAGU